RNAcentral lists this transfer RNA (76 nucleotides) under Coriobacteriaceae bacterium. RNAcentral describes it as "tRNA-Arg". It matches the Rfam family "tRNA". Rfam says of the family: Transfer RNA (tRNA) molecules are approximately 80 nucleotides in length. Lineage: Bacteria; Bacillati; Actinomycetota; Coriobacteriia; Coriobacteriales; Coriobacteriaceae. The record is from RNAcentral.
GCCUCCGUAGCUCAGGGGAUAGAGCAAUGGUUUCCUAAACCAUGCGUCGGACGUUCGAAUCGUCUCGGGGGCACCA